AGUUUGAUCCUGGCUCAGAUUGAACGCUGGCGGCAUGCCUUACACAUGCAAGUCGAACGGCAGCACGGGAGCAAUCCUGGUGGCGAGUGGCGAACGGGUGAGUAAUAUAUCGGAACGUGCCCAGUCGUGGGGGAUAACGUAGCGAAAGCUACGCUGAUACCGCAUACGAUCUAUGGAUGAAAGCGGGGGAUCGCAAGACCUCGCGCGAUUGGAGCGGCCGAUAUCAGAUUAGCUAGUUGGUGGGGUAAAGGCUCACCAAGCCUGCGAUCUGUAGCUGGUCUGAGAGGACGACCAGCCACACUGGGACUGAGACACGGCCCAGACUCCUACGGGAGGCAGCAGUGGGGAAUUUUGGACAAUGGGCGCAAGCCUGAUCCAGCCAUUCCGCGUGCAGGAUGAAGGCCUUCGGGUUGUAAACUGCUUUUGUACGGAACGAAAAGGCUCCUUCUAAUACAGGGGG
Molecule: ribosomal RNA, 460 nt
Filed under: uncultured bacterium
Lineage: Bacteria
Description: bacterial SSU rRNA
Rfam family: Bacterial small subunit ribosomal RNA
Source: RNAcentral